UGCAGCUUGAGAUGUGAGAAUGGACA
Molecule: non-coding RNA, 26 nt
Filed under: Homo sapiens (human)
Lineage: Eukaryota; Metazoa; Chordata; Mammalia; Primates; Hominidae
Source: RNAcentral